This 846-nucleotide long non-coding RNA is filed under the name Triticum aestivum (bread wheat). RNAcentral describes it as "long non-coding RNA (TAES_LNC020331)". The record is from RNAcentral. Lineage: Eukaryota; Viridiplantae; Streptophyta; Magnoliopsida; Poales; Poaceae.
AAACGUCGCCUCUACCAUCUCGAUGGCUUAGACCCAGGGAGCCCUCCCCAGCUUCCAUCAAUGGAUUUUUAUAGUUAGGGUUAAAGACUGAGAGACCCUAUGCAUGUUCAAAUAUGCGAGUAGCAUAUCCAAUACAAAUCAAGAAAAAGAAAAGAGAAGACAUCACAAAAACAAAAUUUUGACAAAUUAUCUCUAUUGUAAAAUAGAGGGAGUAACUCAUUAUUCGAGAGAACUGGCCAUUGACAAUUCAGUUACAAUUAUCAAAGAGAACUAUAAAUUGCUAACUUAAUUACAUCAUUCUUCACAAAAGCUUCUCACUGAGGAAAUUUCUUGACUGGAAGGUCACAUUUCAAGCCAUUGCACUUAUAAAACCCAGCCCUGUUGUUAUUUAAAUUGCAAAUUAAUCAUCAAUAAUGCACAAUAAUUUAUGACCCACAAACGAUUUGGAGCCUAAGGAGGAGAAAAUGUCAAUGCAAAUAAAUACACACAUAGUAAGAUGCAUUGCAAUUGUCGUAUUACUUGAAUUUGUAAGCUGACCAGCAAACGCAUAGUACACAAAAGAGACAAAGCUUUAACCAUAAUUGGUGCUUAACCUUCUUGCUCCUGAUAAUGAUUUUGGCCAUGAAGGCAUCAGAGUAAGGGGAGGAAGAACGGAACGGCGCCUGCCGGAAGUUGCCGAUGGGUGUUGACGGCCUGGCCAAGCCAUCUCCCUCCAUGAUAGGUGGCAGACGGCGGAGAGGUGUAAAUAUGACAAGAUGUGAAAAUAAGCUCGAGGAAAUUAAUAUGGACCAGCAAACUGACAAAAGCAGAACAACAACAACAACAACAACAAAGCCUUUAGUCCCA